AACGCGUGAGCAACCUGCCUAUGACAGUGGGAUAGCCUCGGGAAACCGGGAUUAAUACCGCAUAAAAUCGUAGAAACACAUGUUUCAACGGUCAAAGAUUUAUCGGUCAUAGAUGGGCUCGCGUCUGAUUAGCUAGUUGGUGAGAUAACAGCCCACCAAGGCGACGAUCAGUAGCCGGUCUGAGAGGAUGAGCGGCCACAUUGGAACUGAGACACGGUCCAAACUCCUACGGGAGGCAGCAGGC
This 244-nucleotide ribosomal RNA is filed under the name uncultured Finegoldia sp. Its description in RNAcentral is "partial 16S ribosomal RNA". It matches the Rfam family "Bacterial small subunit ribosomal RNA", at positions 112 to 354 of the family's 1533-position model. The record is from RNAcentral. Lineage: Bacteria; Bacillati; Bacillota; Tissierellia; Tissierellales; Peptoniphilaceae.